GUGCACAGCCAUAUCACCCUGCAGCACAAAACCGGUUACUCACUGAAGCUAAGCAGGGCUGAGCCUGGUUUGUACCUGGAUGGGAGACCCCUAGGGAACACUAGGUUGCUGUGGGAA
Ribosomal RNA from Danio rerio (zebrafish), 117 nucleotides. The record is from Ensembl. NCBI's taxonomy places the organism in Eukaryota, Metazoa, Chordata, Actinopteri, Cypriniformes, Danionidae.